GAUCCUGGCUCAGGAUGAACGCUAGCUACAGGCUUAACACAUGCAAGUCGAGGGGCAGCAUGGUCUUAGCUUGCUAAGGCCGGUGGCGACCGGCGCACGGGUGAGUAACACGUAUCCAACCUGCCGUCUACUCUUGGACAGCCUUCUGAAAGGAAGAUUAAUACAAGAUGGCAUCAUGAGUUCACAUGUUCACAUGAUUAAAGGUAUUCCGGUAGACGAUGGGGAUGCG
Molecule: ribosomal RNA, 229 nt
Filed under: uncultured bacterium
Lineage: Bacteria
Description: partial 16S ribosomal RNA
Rfam family: Bacterial small subunit ribosomal RNA
Source: RNAcentral